AUAAACCAAGAUAGAUUAAAAAUUAGAAUUAAAAAAAUAAAAACUAACAUAAAAGAAGUCUGUUGCACUACCAAAUAAAUGGUGGAGAAAACAAAAAAUUAAAACCCAGCCGCAUGGCUGUUGGGUUUUCAAAAGAGAAAAGGAUUGGGAAUGCACAAUAAUACAUUAAUGUACACCCUUUUUAAUAAAACAAAGGAAAACU
Molecule: long non-coding RNA, 202 nt
Filed under: Lathyrus oleraceus (garden pea)
Lineage: Eukaryota; Viridiplantae; Streptophyta; Magnoliopsida; Fabales; Fabaceae
Description: Pisum sativum (pea) long non-coding RNA (PSAT_LNC034589)
Source: RNAcentral